This 938-nucleotide ribosomal RNA is filed under the name uncultured bacterium. RNAcentral describes it as "bacterial SSU rRNA". It matches the Rfam family "Bacterial small subunit ribosomal RNA", at positions 1 to 932 of the family's 1533-position model. The record is from RNAcentral.
GAAUUCGCCCUUAGAGUUUGAUCCUGGCUCAGGAUGAACGCUAGCGGCAGGCCUAAUACAUGCAAGUCGAACGGCAGCGCGGGGCAACCUGGCGGCGAGUGGCGAACGGGUGAGUAAUAUAUCGGAACGUACCCUGGAGUGGGGGAUAACGUAGCGAAAGUUACGCUAAUACCGCAUACGAUCUAAGGAUGAAAGUGGGGGAUCGCAAGACCUCAUGCUCCUGGAGCGGCCGAUAUCUGAUUAGCUAGUUGGUGGGGUAAAGGCCUACCAAGGCAUCGAUCAGUAGCUGGUCUGAGAGGACGACCAGCCACACUGGAACUGAGACACGGUCCAGACUCCUACGGGAGGCAGCAGUGGGGAAUUUUGGACAAUGGGCGCAAGCCUGAUCCAGCAAUGCCGCGUGAGUGAAGAAGGCCUUCGGGUUGUAAAGCUCUUUUGUCAGGGAAGAAACGGUGGAGGCUAAUAUCCUUUGCUAAUGACGGUACCUGAAGAAUAAGCACCGGCUAACUACGUGCCAGCAGCCGCGGUAAUACGUAGGGUGCAAGCGUUAAUCGGAAUUACUGGGCGUAAAGCGUGCGCAGGCGGUUUUGUAAGUUUGUCGUGAAAUCCCCGGGCUCAACCUGGGAAUGGCGAUGAAGACUGCAAGGCUAGAAUCUGGCAGAGGGGGGUAGAAUUCCACGUGUAGCAGUGAAAUGCGUAGAGAUGUGGAGGAACACCGAUGGCGAAGGCAGCCCCCUGGGUCAAGAUUGACGCUCAUGCACGAAAGCGUGGGGAGCAAACAGGAUUAGAUACCCUGGUAGUCCACGCCCUAAACGAUGUCUACUAGUUGUCGGGUUUUAAUUAACUUGGUAACGCAGCUAACGCGUGAAGUAGACCGCCUGGGGAGUACGGUCGCAAGAUUAAAACUCAAAGGAAUUGACGGGGGCAAGGGCGAAUUC